This 207-nucleotide ribosomal RNA is filed under the name uncultured bacterium. RNAcentral's name for it is "partial 16S ribosomal RNA". It matches the Rfam family "Bacterial small subunit ribosomal RNA", at positions 568 to 774 of the family's 1533-position model. The record is from RNAcentral.
AGCGCAGGCGGGAAGACAAGUUGGAAGUGAAAUCUAUGGGCUCAACCCAUAAACUGCUUUCAAAACUGUUUUUCUUGAGUAGUGCAGAGGUAGGCGGAAUUCCCGGUGUAGCGGUGGAAUGCGUAGAUAUUAGGAGGAACACCAGUUGCGAAGGCGGCUCUCUGGACUGUAACUGACGCUGAGGCACGAAAGCGUGGGGAGCAAACA